UAGAAAAUAAUAUUUUAUAAAGUCCGUUCGCGUGUUUGGUCGUUUCAGACUAUGGACGGGUGAAACGUACCCAGUUGCAGUUUGAUUAUAUUGCAAUCGAUCAAAAUGAAAACAUCGGUUACAAUUAUUGUUAAGGAAUUCCCAAAUUCAAUAUUAUUUAUAACCGACUAAUAAUAACAUUUAAUUACGUCGAGAUACUAUUGCCCGUAUCGGUAUUUCUAUAGGUUUUUCAUUGAUGAGUUAUUUUUAGAAUGUUUUUACCAAAUUCCUCGUGACCCGCACAAUGGUUAUUAACGAUAUGAAUAUUAUUUAUUAUCAAAUUAUAAUGUUAUAUUUAUAUCGCCUGUGACAAUCGCCAAUUGUGUUGACGUUCAAAUAAUUCAAUCGAACAAAAAUAAUAAACCGAGACGUGAAUAGAAAGACAAGUCGUUAAGCAGUAAAUAAUAUAACUUAAACUCGCACAUUUCGUUACGUUCGGGUUAUUUUCAUCAAAUAUUUCGAUACUUUCAAGUUUCAGUUCGGAGCGGGACAAAGGCAGCUGUUUCUUCGGCGGCGGACAUCUGAACGUCUGGUCCUUGAUACAUAUGACACAGCUCUACGUUUCGUCGGAAGAGUCCGUGUUUACGCAUUCUUCAACCGUAUGACUGCAGUGUGUCAAUGGGACUGGAUCAUCUGGAUCAUUGUCACCUAAAUUAAUAAAAUGAAUAUUGUUAAUUCAUAAGUAAAAUAAAACAGCUUACAUAGUA
This is a long non-coding RNA of Metopolophium dirhodum (rose-grain aphid), 746 nucleotides long. RefSeq lists it as uncharacterized. The transcript has 2 exons. Lineage: Eukaryota; Metazoa; Arthropoda; Insecta; Hemiptera; Aphididae. The record is from RefSeq and is a predicted model, not a curated record.